Non-coding RNA from Mauremys reevesii (Reeves's turtle), 411 nucleotides. NCBI's taxonomy places the organism in Eukaryota, Metazoa, Chordata, Testudines, Geoemydidae. The record is from the annotation of a RefSeq genome assembly.
AUGAAUGGUGUCCUCUCCCAGGUGCGGCUGGUCCAGUCCGGCCCCGGAGUGGCAAGGCCCGGAGAGACCCUCGCACUGACCUGCGCUGUCUCCGGGGUCUCCAUCACUGACAGCACUUACUACUGGCAAUGGAUCCGACAGGCUGUCGGGAAAGGGCUGGAAUGGAUGGGACUCCUACAUCCAAAUAGUGGGGGUACAAGUUACACCCCGUCCCUCAAGGGACGAGUCACCCUCUCAGCAGAUUCCGCCAAGAACCAGGUCUCCCUGCAGCUCCGCUCACUGACAGCUGCAGACACCGGCACCUAUUACUGCGUCCGAUACACCAUGACACAGAGCAAAGCGGGGCUGGCACAAAAAGGGGAAGCAGGGUGUUUAAUAUCUGCAGGCUUGGACAGAGCAGAUUUAUAUUGA